AACGAACGCUGGCGGCAUGCCUAGCGCAUGCAAGUCGAACGAGGCCUUCGGGUCUAGUGGCGCACGGGUGCGUAACGCGUGGGAACCUGCCCUUAGGUUCGGAAUAACUCCCCGAAAGGGGUGCUAAUACCGGAUAAUGUCUUCGGACCAAAGAUUUAUCGCCUUUGGAUGGGCCCGCGUUGGAUUAGCUAGUUGGUAGGGUAAAAGCCUACCAAGGCGACGAUCCAUAGCUGGUCUGAGAGGAUGAUCAGCCACACUGGGACUGAGACACGGCCCAGACUCCUACGGGAGGCAGCAGUGGGGAAUAUUGGACAAUGGGCGAAAGCCUGAUCCAGCAAUGCCGCGUGAGUGAUGAAGGCCUUAGGGUUGUAAAGCUCUUUUACCCGGGAUGAUAAUGACAGUACCGGGAGAAUAAGCUCCGGCUAACUCCGUG
RNAcentral lists this ribosomal RNA (433 nucleotides) under uncultured bacterium. RNAcentral's name for it is "partial 16S ribosomal RNA". It matches the Rfam family "Bacterial small subunit ribosomal RNA", at positions 29 to 507 of the family's 1533-position model. The record is from RNAcentral.